AAUUCUUAGUGGCGAACGGGUGAGUAACGCGUAGGCAACCUGCCCUUUAGACGGGGACAACAUUCCGAAAGGAGUGCUAAUACCGGAUGUGAUCAUCUUGCCGCAUGGCAGGAUGAAGAAAGAUGGCCUCUACAAGUAAGCUAUCGCUAAAGGAUGGGCCUGCGUCUGAUUAGCUGGUUGGUGAGGUAACGGCCCACCAAGGCGACGAUCAGUAGCCGGACUGAGAGGUUGACCGGCCACAUUGGGACUGAGAUACGGCCCAGACUCC
Molecule: ribosomal RNA, 268 nt
Filed under: uncultured Phascolarctobacterium sp.
Lineage: Bacteria; Bacillati; Bacillota; Negativicutes; Acidaminococcales; Acidaminococcaceae
Description: partial 16S ribosomal RNA
Rfam family: Bacterial small subunit ribosomal RNA
Source: RNAcentral